CAAGCAUUCAUUCAGACACCAGAGCUGCUCCUUGAAUAGAGAGUGGGGCCCUCUGAACGCAUUUGCUGCCGAAACUCCUGGGAAUCAACUGGGAACACAAGAAUUCAGGAAGAGCAAUGGCCAGUUGAGUCACCACAGGAGCACACAGUCCUGAGAACGAAGGGAAAGGAACAUCAGCAAGUUUAGGGUGAAAAUGACAAUGA
Long non-coding RNA from Sorex fumeus (smoky shrew), 203 nucleotides. RefSeq lists it as uncharacterized. The transcript is spliced from 3 exons. Lineage: Eukaryota; Metazoa; Chordata; Mammalia; Eulipotyphla; Soricidae. The record is from RefSeq and is a predicted model, not a curated record.